Aphis gossypii (cotton aphid) is the source of this 5800-nucleotide long non-coding RNA. RefSeq lists it as uncharacterized. The transcript has 2 exons. Lineage: Eukaryota; Metazoa; Arthropoda; Insecta; Hemiptera; Aphididae. The record is from RefSeq and is a predicted model, not a curated record.
UGUCACUGUAACAUAAUAUAAUAAUUAAUAUAUAUAUAAAUAAUAAAUAUAAUAUUAAUUCCUUCCUUCCUCUCUCUCUUACCUCUUUUUUUUUUUUUAUUCUGCUCCAGACGCUUGUAUUAAUUCGUUUGUUAAUAUUGCUAAUUGGCUACAUGUUGGCUCACGUAUAUCGCGCACUAGUAUUAUUAAAUUAAGUGUCAUCGUAAUAAUUCCGAUUAUUCUAUUCAUUUCAAUCAUUGUAUAAGGUACCUAUUUGUAGUUGUUCGUUUGCUAUGUACAUAUGGUUUGUUAAACACGUAGGCUCAUUAUGAAUGUUAUUUUUGUUUAGCACGUGUUGGAAUACGUGAUUGUCAUGUCUAAGUGAAUGGCGUAGCAUUAUUAGGUAUAGUAUACGUCUGGGCAUCCUUUCUUGAAUUGGCAUUAUUACUAAUUUACUAAUUUGGCAACUACUUAAUUAUUUGAAAUGUACAAUAAAAUUUAUCUUGACUCUCAAUGUUCUCUUAUCUGUAACAUGAUAAGAAUGAGAAGAUUUAAUGUAAUAUUUAUUAUAUUCGCGUAACUUCAUUCAUUUCUCUUGACAAUAUUAAAUGUCGUCUAGUUUUAUUUAUCGAUCGUAUUUGAUUUACUUUAUGUCUAUAUUUUAUUAAAAGUAUCUCGGCUACCAUUAUUAAAAUAAAAAAAAUAGAAUAGGUAUGAGUGAAGGUCUGUAGUAUCUUUAUUGUUUUGUUUGUCUUUCUCUUCUUGCAUAAGUUGUUCGAUUUCCUCUAUGGAUUUCGAGUAUUGUCCUAAGUCAGUUAAUUUUAUUACGGAGUUGGUAUGCGUGUUGCUACUACUGAUUUUUCUUUUUAAAGACGUGGGAAUUGUCGAGUUUGUUGUGAUACCUACAUCUGAGAUUAAAUCUUUGUAGUGUGUUGAAUUUAAAUGUCUACUUAAUGUUAACACUAUUUGUGGCGUGUAACCCCUGCAGUCUUCGUUUAGUGUUAGCACCCCAUUUCCAGUUAGUUGUAUAUUUAUUGCCUGGUCCCUGUUUUCGCAUGAGACAGCUACAUUGUCAGUUGUUUUUAUUGUAUAAAUCCAUGCAUUUUGAUAUUUUAGUCGGUGAUAAAUACUACGAGUAAUGUCAAGAUAGUGUAUGGGACAAGAUAUUGGUAUGCUUGACGGUUUUACGAACAAUUCGACUUCACACGGUAAUUCACUUGCCCCUAGUCUUAGUGGGGUUGUGUCUCGGGACAUAAAAUAUCCAUGUUUAUUUGUCGGCAUAACAUAAGAUGAUUCAUACACAAUGUAAAAUAAUAUUCAUGUGUUUUCGAAAUUGCUAUAUGUAUGAGUAUUCAGGUAUUAUGUGAAUAUAGUGAUCAUUUUUCACUACAGAAAGUGGUAUUACGUGAUACAAUGUUAAUUCUACUGAAAUUACUAAAGGUAUUAUUAUUUUGAAGAUUAAAGUUUCGUUUUUAUAAAUAAUAUUAAAUUUUGAUAUUUUACUUAAUUCGUACGGUGAUACCUGGUUUAAAUUAAACGGUAAGCUUUGUUCCUUAGGAACUACUAGAGAAAUAUCUUUUAACUGUUGUCUUAAUAUUCAUUAACGGCUAUUACGCUAGAAUGCAUUAUACCACCUUGUGCAGCAAUUAUUAUUUCACAUAUUGUGUCAGUUUCAAAACUUAGCUGUUGGAAUAAUAGAUUUAAUGUAUUUAUUUGUUCAUUGAUAUUAAUUCUAGCUUCUGCUAUAUCUAAAUUUAUUACUGUUUGAUUUACUGUAUCUGCCAUCCGAUUAUAUUAUAAUAUACUUAAUCUAUUUAUUUGAGUCUCCAUCUGAUUUGCCUCUUUAAAUGUAUUUGCUGUUGCUUUUAGUACGCUAGUUUGUUUUUCUAUUAUUUUUAAUAAAUUUUGUUGACUAGAUUGUUACUUUUCAAUUUGUCUAUCGUAUAGUUCCGCGUCAGUGUCAUCUUAUGUUCCAAAUAAUGUUUUUUGUACUCGUCCUAUUAAGUUUAUUGGGCCCCUCUUUUCCCGGUUAACUGUAUGUCUGUAUCUGUUUCAUCUAUCGAUUGCAACAUAUAAAAUUUUUUCCUAGAUUCUUCCUGUUCGAGACUAUUAGAUGUUAGUUUAAAGUUGUCACAAGUAAUUUUAAACAUACCUUCGUAUGCUAUUGUUAAGUCGUUACAUACAUUUAAAGUUUUUUUGUAAAAGUUCAUUGUGUCUUUAGUACGUUGAUUGAAAUUAUCUAAUUUCACAUAAAUCAGUAAUUUCCAGUCAGAGUUAGUUAAACGAAGUGGCCCUUGGUUUCAAAAUACAUCCCAUUCUCUUGGGUAAGCCUUAAAAUACGAUACGGUUUUGUUUGUGCCAACGCAAUCUGGAGCGUGAAGCAUGUAUUAUUAUAAUCCUAAAAAUUUAUUUUUAAUUACGCUUGUAUAUUAUUUUAAUUAAUUAACCUACUUAUUAUUUUUAAAUUUUAAUCUUAUAUAAUUUUUACAUUAAAAUUUAUUUUAUUUCAUUAAACUUCUUAACAUUAUUUUUAUGCACCGUUACGUGCCUCCUACCUCUUAAUAUUACAAUGUUUUCUCUAUCUAAUACGUCAGUUACUUCAUAGACACCUAUCCAUAAUGGAUUUAAUUUAUUUUUCUGUGUUUUGUCUCUUAACAAUAUUUCAUCCUUUACAUGUAUCUCUAUAGAGUUUUCAUUACUAUCAUAAAAUUGUUAAGAUUUUAUUUUUCUCUUUAUUAAAUUUUCUCUAACUAUCUUAUGCGAUUCUUGCAUUUUCUGUUUUAAAUCAAAAUAAUAAUUGUCAUAAUUAUAUCUAGGUUCUGGUUCGUGGGAUAAUUUUACUGGUAUUUCUAGGCGUCUCCCGAAUAAUAAAGAAUAUGACUGAUAGCCUGUUGAUGUAUGUUCGGUAGAAUUGUAUACAAAAAAUGCGUAAGGUAAAUACUCGUCCCAGUUGUUGAGUUUUUUGUCGACAUAGUGCCUUGGAUACUCUGUUAGCGUCCUAUGUGAUCUUUCUAGACUACCGUUUAUUUGUGGGUGAAAUGAGCUAGUAUUUAUUUUAUUUAUUUAUAAUAAUUUACAUACUUCGGUGAAUAUUUUACUUAGAAAAUCAGUGCCCUGAUCGGUUAAUAUUGUUUGUGGUAUGCCGUGUGUACAUACAAAAUUUGUUACAAUUGCUUCAGCAAUUGCAUUAGCUUGGUGAUUAGGUAAUACUAUCCCCAUUGAAUAUUUAGUUAAGUCAUCCUGCAAUGUUAAUAUAUAUGUAUUCCCUGAUAACGUAGUGACUGUGGCCUUACAAUGUCUAAAAAAUUUUUUCAAAUGGUUCGGAACUUGUUGAUGUAAUUAGCAUAGGUUGCUUUAUUUUUUUAUUUGUAACUUUUCCUUUCUGACAUGAUACGCAAUUUUUUAUGUAUUCUAUAACGUUUUCUUUUUAUCCUUUCCAGUUAAAUUGGUUUUUAUUUUCUUUAUUGUCCUGUGUAUACCGACGUACCCACCGAUUUUUGAAUCGUGGCAUUGUUUGAAUAUUAUUAAUUUUUCAUCAUCACUAAAUUCGAACUUAGAACAAAUAAUAAUUCUAUAUCAGUACUGCGGAAUACAUAACGAAUCAUGGCACGUACCUGCGCCCAUUCUAGUUUGUCCUUAAAUCCUAAUUUAUUCAUUGCUAAUUUAUUUAAUGAUUGAUCCUCACAGAACGUUUUUAGAUUUAAUAAUGUCAAAUAAAUAUUUUCGUACGUGGUUUUUUGUUAUUAUAAACAUUAUAUUAUACCUAUCCUUAUUUUUUAUAUAAUUAAUUUCACCAACAGCCUUACAUGGUGCUAAUAUUUGAUUGUUACAAAAUUUUAAAAUUUUGUUUUAAUUCAUAAUUUAUUUCUGACAUGAAGUUAUAUUGUUCUGUUAUUUCUGAUACUAUGUGAUAUUCUUCAGGUGCUUCUAAUAAAGUACCGAGCACUUUCUUUACGUUUUUAUUAGUAAUAAGUAAUAACUAAUAAGUUGUGGUUUCGAAUUUAUUUAAAAAUGCUGGGUAGCUUUCAUUUUUUAUUUCGGUUACCGUAUACAAUAUACAUUCUGCUUAACGCAUCUACAUUCGAAUUUUGUACGCCCGGUUUAUAUUUAAUUUCAUAAUUAUAUUCUUCUAAAAAUAUUCGGCAACGAGCGAGUUUCGAUACUGGGUCUUUUAGAUUAAAUAACCACGAAAGUGCGCGAUGAUCGCUUAAUAUAAUAAAGUUUCUACCAUAUAAAUACGGCCUAAAAAUUUUUACUGCGAAUAUUAUAGCAAAAAUUCGAGGUUCGGUUGUACUAUAAUUAUUUUCACUUUUAUUUAAUGUUCUCGGCGCAUAUGCAAUAGGUGAAUCUUGUGGUACUUCCCCUUGUGAUAGUAUUGCGCCUAGUGCUUUCUCACUUGCGUCAGUGGUAAUUAUAAAUGGUUUCGUAAAGUCUGGAUAUUGUAAUAUAGGUUCAGAGCAAAGCGAAUAUUUUAGACAGUCAAAUGGUUUUUGACAAUUGUCAUCCCAGUUAAAGGUAACUCCCUUCUUUAGUACGUUUGUUAUAUUGGUUUUGCUAUUAAUCUAUAUGACUUUAUAAAUUUUCUUUAGUAACCAGAGAGUCCAAGAAAUGAUUUAAUUUGUUUUACGGUAGUUGGUAUCGGAAUUUCUAAUACCGAUUUAAUUUUAUUCGGGUCGGGUUUAAUGCCGUGUUCACUAAUUAUGUGUCCUAUAGGUAUAAACAUUCUUGUUUUAAAAAUUCACAUUUGUCCGGCUGUAUUUUUAAAUUAUGUUUUUGUAACCUUUUUUUUUUAUUAUUAAGAAUAUGGGACCAAUACAACUUUACAAGUUGUGUAAUAGUAGUAUAAAUGAAAGCAAUUAAAAAUUAGAAUAAUAGACCAAUAGAUUAGGGAGCACCACAUAUAUAUAGUUAUGUAUAAAAAAAAAAAAAUAUAUAUUUUAUUUUAUGUAUCUUAAUUGUAAAACAAAAUUACAUAAUCACAUUGUAUUUUAGUUGUAAAACAAAUAUAUAAAUAUUAUAUUAUAUUGUUUAAAUUAAGACAUUAAUAAUCUUAUUUUGUCAGCAAUUAAUUUUUAUGUAACGUAUUAUAUUAAAUUAAAUUAAAUUGUAAAUUAGAAACGAAAAGACUAACAAAAAAAAAAAGAAAAAAAUUAAUGUUAUAAAAAAAAAAUAAUAUAUUUUGUAAAUCACUAACACUAGUAUUAAGAAAUCUUAUAUGUAAUUAGUAUUUUAGACUUCUGUUAAAGAUUUAAACAUAAAUCUUUUUUUUAGUAGGGUGGUGUUACGGACCUAUACUGUCCGUAGAAAUUAUUUUAUGCGCAUAAGAUCGUACAAUGUCAAUUUUCCAUAACUUAUAAUUAAUACUAUACAGGAAUACGAGUACAGGACACGAGAGUGUGGAAUAUUAUAUUAGUAUAUUAAUUUAACAAUUAAAGUAAAACCACACGUCUCUUUAUAAAAAGUCAAAACUCGUUGUCACUGCGAUUCGAUAAGAAUCAUGGGUAAGAAUACACAAGCAGUGUUUUCGGGACCUGUCCUCUCGUAUGACGGUCGACGGAGUCGCCACCCACUCUAUGUAAGAAAUCACAUAUAAAAGGGAGACCGAGACAAGAGCUCGGCAGACGGUUACAGUAUAACAGACGGUUAUAUAUAUGACACUCAGAGGUCGGUCGUAAAACCACUCAAGUCUUGAUAUCAGUAUUUCAGAGGUCGAUCGUAACACCACUCACCAUCUUACUAUAUAUAAUUUAAUCUUAAGCUUAUAACAACUGUAUUUGUGCAAGAAAUAUUUUAAUAAACGUUAACUUAUACUUGAACAACA